GCACUACUUGUCCUUUUAUUUACACUGGAAAUUAAAUUGAAUUAAAAUGAUACUGAUUUCUUUGUCCAAAACAUGAACUAAUGAAAGGUAUGGUUUAAGCUGCUCAGUCAGCAAACCAACCAAUGAAGGCAUCUAUGUCUGUUUAAUUUUGGAGUUUUGUCUUAACUUAUGAUAUUUUUUAUACAUUUUUUUUUAUCAUUGUUCAAAGCAAGAAGUGAAUAGUUGUAUAUGUUAACAAUUCCUUAAAAAAACAACAGCAUAUUACAUUUUGAAGACAUUCUUUAUAAAAUAGUCCAAAGCUUAAACAUUAAUCAAGUUUACAGUUUAUUUUGAGUAUCAAUCUACAUUUGCUAGUGAGAUUCAUAAUGUUACCAUUUUUUUUAAAGACAUUUUCACAGAGUUCAAUUUUUUUUUACAUGAAACUGCAAACAAAAAAAGCUAAAAAAACUUUACAAUAUGCAAGUCAAUACCCAUCAAAUGAUGCAAAAGCCUGAAGCUAUCUGCUAAGUAUAAAAUGGGACUUAUUUCAAAACAUUGCAUAGUGAAUCUGUUUAAUUAUCUAUUUUUUUAAUAUCAUAUUUUAUUUCAUAAGUUUCCUCCAAAUUUAUUUUUAGAAUCCAUUUUAUUAAUGACCCAAAGGAACAUUUCAGGAAUACAACCUUCUUUCCAUAGUCAAACUAGGCAUUUAAAAUUUGUAUGGAUGACUAAGCUCCUGCCAAAUCUUUCUUGGUUCCUUUUUUUUUCAUUCAUAUAUGAAUGUGAAGUGAAAAAAACAAACUGGUAAGAUUUUUCAACACAAAAACAUACAUUAAUUCAUUAAGGCAAGUUGACGCAUAGCUUUUGAUUGUCUGAUCAAAAUUUAUUCAAUUUUUUAAAGAUUGUUUAUUACAAGUGCUUUUGUUGUGAGUUUUAAAAAAAAAUCUUUAUAUAUUUUUCAAAGAAAUGGUAGAGUGCAAAUUUUCCAGUGUUGCAAUUUAUGUUCAGCAAAUCACUUUAGCCUUCACAGUUAUUGACCAAUUAUCUUUGCUUUUACGUCAAGUUAUUGACCAAUCAUCUUUGCUUUUACAACCAUGUUUGGUCCAUCUAUGCUUGCACAAUCCAGUUUUGUCACACAUUCUGUUUUAAUAGUUUAAAAUGUUCACUAAUAAUCUAUUUAUAUUCACUGUCAUUUCGAAACCUUACCAUUAAAGAAAACAAAUGAAUGAAACAUAAAAAACCUUCAAUACAUUUCUUUUUAAAUUGAUAUAAUGACUAGUUAAGUUAUGUAUGUUUCCAGACCCUAAAAAACUUUUUGCACAUACAAUGAAAAGCAAGAAAUAAUUCAUGAAAUUAACAA
Molecule: long non-coding RNA, 1336 nt
Filed under: Mytilus galloprovincialis (Mediterranean mussel)
Lineage: Eukaryota; Metazoa; Mollusca; Bivalvia; Mytilida; Mytilidae
Source: RNAcentral